This 490-nucleotide ribosomal RNA is filed under the name uncultured bacterium. Its description in RNAcentral is "partial 16S ribosomal RNA". It matches the Rfam family "Bacterial small subunit ribosomal RNA", at positions 899 to 1397 of the family's 1533-position model. The record is from RNAcentral.
ACUCAAAUGAAUUGACGGGGAUCCGCACAAGCAGUGGAGCAUGUGGUUUAAUUCGAUACAAAGCGAAAGACCUCACCAAGGUUUGACAUACCAGCUGCACGGUUGUAGAAAUAUGACCUUCAUUCGAUGGUGCUGGAAAAGCUGCUGCAUGGCUGUCGUCAGCUCGUGCCGUGGGGUGUAGAUUUAAGUAUCAUAACGAGCGCAACCCUCAUUCUUUGUUAAAUUAUUCAAAGAAAACUGCCUUGCAAAUUUGCAGGGAGGAAGGUGGGGAUGAUGUCAAGUCAGCACGGCGCCUAUGCCUUGGGCGACACACAUCCUACAAUGGCGAACAACAACGAGUUGCAACUGGGCAACCAGAAGCUAAUCUCUGAAAUUUCGCCUCAGUUCAGAUUGGGGUCUGCAACCCGACCCCAUGAAGUUGGAAUUGCUAGUAAACGCAGAUCAGCAGGCUGCGUUGAAUACGUUCUCGGAUCUUGUACACACCGCCCGU